GCACUGUUGACUGGGAAAGUAAUUUUUAGCUACGAAAAUAAUCCUGGACUGCAUAAAGAGACAGCAAAAAGGAUGCAUUUUAAGUUGAUACUUGGAACUUCAAUUAGCAUACUUGCAGUUCUGUUAGUUCUGUUGAUAGGAAGUCUAGUGCACCUGCGUAAUCUGCAAAAGAAGACAUCGCAUCAGAAAAGCAAUAACCAAGGUAGCUCUUUACGCACCGGUAUUAAACCUUCAACUGCUUACUCUAUUUCUCGGGGUUGGCAUCUCGUGGAUGAAGGUGUUUCGUACUAUAUUUCAUUCUCUGAGCUUGAAGAAGCUACCAAAAACUUUUCCAGGAAAAUUGGAAAAGGAAGUUUUGGGACUGUCUACUAUGGC
RNAcentral lists this unclassified non-coding RNA (375 nucleotides) under Hevea brasiliensis (rubber tree). The record is from RNAcentral. Lineage: Eukaryota; Viridiplantae; Streptophyta; Magnoliopsida; Malpighiales; Euphorbiaceae.